UCAGGGUCAGUGGGCAGCAGGCCUGCCUGGUGGUGUCUGUCUCUGGAGAGUGACUUGGUCUAUCGUUUGUUUCUGAAAAGCAAGAUAUCUGGGUAGUACUGGGUUGAGAGUGUGAUUAACCAAGGAGUAAUCUGAGGCUUGAUUUUGUUUGCUUAGAGCGGGGUGUGUGUUUGUCUGUGUCUGGUGUGUGUCUGAGGGGUUGUGCAGGCCCAAUGUGAUGUGUGGGGUGAGGCUGUCUCCGGGUGGGGCUGAGGAGCUGUCCAGUCGGGGGUCCUGUGUCUGAGGGGCAGGCUCUCUGUGUGGGUAUAGGUAGGCAUCAUGUGUCUUAAGGGCGGGCUGGGGUAAAGGUUGUCCAGGUUGGUGUCCUGUGUCUGGGGUCAGCUGUUUCUGGGGCAGUCUGAGGGGUCGUCCAGGUGGACUAAGGUAGUCUGGGGUGGGUGGUAUGAGCCUGAAGUGGGGUUUUUGAGAACAUGAGUGGAUUCUGAAGACAGGAGGGGCAGGCAGGUUGUGGUGGUCUCCCCUCACCUGUUUGUUGUCCCCACACCCAAUCCCCCAGGACAUGUUGGAGUUCCCAGCCCAGGAACUUCGGAAAUACUUCAAGAUGGGGGACCACGUGAAGGUGAUUGCCGGCCGAUUCGAGGGCGACACAGGCCUCAUUGUGCGGGUGGAGGAGAAUUUCGUUAUCCUGUUCUCUGACCUCACCAUGCAUGAGCUGAAGGUGCUCCCCCGGGACCUGCAGCUCUGCUCAGAGACAGCAUCAGGUGUGGAUGUUGGGGGCCAGCAUGAAUGGGGCGAGCUGGUGCAGCUGGAUCCCCAGACUGUGGGUGUCAUCGUGCGACUAGAACGGGAGACCUUCCAG
Molecule: small RNA, 859 nt
Filed under: Pan troglodytes (chimpanzee)
Lineage: Eukaryota; Metazoa; Chordata; Mammalia; Primates; Hominidae
Description: retained intron
Source: RNAcentral